RNAcentral lists this transfer RNA (70 nucleotides) under Ictidomys tridecemlineatus (thirteen-lined ground squirrel). Its description in RNAcentral is "Spermophilus tridecemlineatus (thirteen-lined ground squirrel) tRNA". It matches the Rfam family "tRNA". Rfam says of the family: Transfer RNA (tRNA) molecules are approximately 80 nucleotides in length. Their secondary structure includes four short double-helical elements and three loops (D, anti-codon, and T loops). Further hydrogen bonds mediate the characteristic L-shaped molecular structure. tRNAs have two regions of fundamental functional importance: the anti-codon, which is responsible for specific mRNA codon recognition, and the 3' end, to which the tRNAs corresponding amino acid is attached (by aminoacyl-tRNA synthetases). tRNAs cope with the degeneracy of the genetic code in two manners: having more than one tRNA (with a specific anti-codon) for a particular amino acid; and 'wobble' base-pairing, i.e. permitting non-standard base-pairing at the 3rd anti-codon position. The record is from Rfam by way of RNAcentral. Lineage: Eukaryota; Metazoa; Chordata; Mammalia; Rodentia; Sciuridae. RNAcentral also lists the same sequence under 1 other name.
GGGGUUGUGGCUCAGCAGUAGAGCGCUUGCCUAGCAUGCAUGAGGCACAUGGGUUCGAUCCUCAGCACCA